Molecule: ribosomal RNA, 253 nt
Filed under: uncultured bacterium
Lineage: Bacteria
Description: partial 16S ribosomal RNA
Rfam family: Archaeal small subunit ribosomal RNA
Source: RNAcentral
UACCAGCACCCCGAGUGGUCGGGACGUUUAUUGGGCCUAAAGCAUCCGUAGCCGGUUCUACAAGUCUUCCGUUAAAUCCACCUGCUUAACAGAUGGGCUGCGGAAGAUACUAUAGAGCUAGGAGGCGGGAGAGGCAAGCGGUACUCGAUGGGUAGGGGUAAAAUCCGUUGAUCCAUUGAAGACCGCCAGUGGCGAAGGCGGCUUGCCAGAACGCGCUCGACGGUGAGGGAUGAAAGCUGGGGGAGCAAACCGG